Molecule: ribosomal RNA, 869 nt
Filed under: uncultured archaeon
Lineage: Archaea
Description: bacterial SSU rRNA
Rfam family: Archaeal small subunit ribosomal RNA
Source: RNAcentral
CGGUUGAUCCUGCCGGAGGUCACUGCUAUUGGGAUUCGACUAAGCCAUGCGAGUCGAGAGGGUUCGGCCCUCGGCUGACGGCUCAGUAACACGUGGAUAAUCUGCCCUUAGGUGGAGGAUAAUCUCGGGAAACUGAGGAUAAUACUCCAUAGAUCUAGGAUGCUGGAAUGCAUCUAGAUUGAAAGCUCCGGCGCCUAAGGAUGAGUCUGCGGACUAUCAGGUUGUAGUCAGGGUAAAGACCUGACUAGCCUACGACGGAUACGGGUUGUGAGAGCAAUAACCCGGAGACGAUAUCUGAGACACGAUAUCGGGCCCUACGGGGCGCAGCAGGCGCGAAAACUUCACACUGUGCGAAAGCGCGAUGAGGGAAUCCCAAGUGUUUGCUCGUAAGAGUAAACUGUUUCUUUGUUUAAAACGCAGAGAGAGUAAGGGCUGGGUAAGACGGGUGCCAGCCGCCGCGGUAAUACCUGCAGCUCAAGUGGUGAUCAUUAUUAUUGGGCCUAAAACGUCCGUAGCCGGUUUAGUAAAUGCCUGGGUAAAUCGUGUAGCUUAACUAUACGACUUCCGGGUAGACUGCUAAACUUGAGACCGGGAGAGGCUAGAGGUACUCCUGGGGUAGAGGUGAAAUUCUGUAAUCCUAGGGGGACCACCAGUGGCGAAGGCGUCUAGCUAGAACGGGUCUGACGGUGAGGGACGAAGCCCUGGGGCACAAACCGGAUUAGAUACCCGGGUAGUCCAGGGUGUAAACGCUGCUUGCUUGAUGUUAGUUGGGCUCCGAGCCCAACUAGUGUCGGAGAGAAGUUGUUAAGCAAGCUGCCUGGGAAGUACGGUCGCAAGGCUGAAACUUAAAGGAAUUGGCGGGGGAGCAC